UACGUAGGGGGCGAGCGUUAUUCGGAAUUACUGGGCGUAAAGUGUGCGUAGGCGGCCGAUCAAGUCGGGUGUGAAAGCCCCGAGCUUAACUUGGGAACUGCGCUCGAAACUACUUGGCUAGAGUGUGGCAGAGGGAGGUGGAAUUCCACGUGUAGCGGUGAAAUGCGUAGAGAUGUGGAGGAAUACCGAUGGCGAAGGCAGCCUCCUGGGCCAACACUGACGCUCAUGCACGAAAGCGUGGGGAGCAAACAGG
Molecule: ribosomal RNA, 253 nt
Filed under: uncultured bacterium
Lineage: Bacteria
Description: partial 16S ribosomal RNA
Rfam family: Bacterial small subunit ribosomal RNA
Source: RNAcentral